Sciurus vulgaris (Eurasian red squirrel) is the source of this 130-nucleotide small nucleolar RNA. The record is from Ensembl. NCBI's taxonomy places the organism in Eukaryota, Metazoa, Chordata, Mammalia, Rodentia, Sciuridae.
UGUUAUUAAAAUAAAGGGUCAAUGGUUCCUUGUCUUUGGACACAUAAGAAUUGGAGGAAAGGAAAUGUGGAUUUGGAGAAGUCUGGGGCCAGCUUGCUCUUUGCAGACUCAGAUCAAUCAUCCCACAUAG